GAUGAACGCUGGCGGCGUGCUUGAUACAUGCAAGUCGAACGGAGAGUGUAGCAAUAUACUUUUAGUGGCGAACGGGUGAGUAACGCGUUGGUGACCUGCCCCGAAGCGAGGGAUAACAGUUCGAAAGAACUGCUAAUACCUCAUGUGAUCACCGGUUUUAGAAUCUGGUGAUUAAAGGUGAAAUCACUUCGGGAGGGGCCUGCGUCCCAUCAGCUAGUUGGUAAGGUAAUGGCUUACCAAGGCGAUGACGGGUAGGGGACCUGAGAGGGUGGCCCCCCACAAUGGAACUGAAACACGGUCCAUACACCUACGGGUGGCAGCAGUAGGGAAUAUUGCAAAUGGGCGAAAGCCUGAUGUAGCAACGCCGCGUGUGCGAUGAAGGUCUUCGGAUUGUAAGCAACUUUUUGGAGGGAUGAGGAAGGACAGUACCUCCAGAAUAAGCCUCGGCUAACUACGUGCCAGCAGCCGCGGUAAGCUAGUCUACG
This 485-nucleotide ribosomal RNA is filed under the name uncultured bacterium. RNAcentral describes it as "bacterial SSU rRNA". It matches the Rfam family "Bacterial small subunit ribosomal RNA", at positions 28 to 536 of the family's 1533-position model. The record is from RNAcentral.